GGGAAUGUGGCUCAGAGGUAGAGUGCUUGCCUAGCAUGCAUGAAGCCAUGGGUUCGACUCCUCAGUAUCU
Dipodomys ordii (Ord's kangaroo rat) is the source of this 70-nucleotide non-coding RNA. NCBI's taxonomy places the organism in Eukaryota, Metazoa, Chordata, Mammalia, Rodentia, Heteromyidae. The record is from Rfam.